AGGAAAGUGUUAUUAUUUCAGCACCUGAUGAGCUCAACUGGACUGAGAGCAGAAGUUUCUGCAGAGAUGUUGGAGGAGACCUGGUGAAGAUCGACAGCAGAGAGGAGCAGGAGUUUCUGGUGAGAAGACUGAGAGACAAGAUGAUCAGUAUUGAAGACUGGUUCUGGAUCGGACUGACGGACUUGGAGACAGAAGGCAGCUGGUUGUGGGUGGACGGAUCUCCUCUGAAUGAAAGUUUGAGUUUUUGGUCUUCUGGACAACUAGAUGCAUGGAAUGAAAAUGAAGAAGAUGAAGACUGUGUGCAGAUGGUGAUAGAAAAAGUAUCUGUUGAUCAUAAGACCUGGAAUUAUUAUGGCUGCAAUGAUACUGCAUUUAGUGUCUGUGAGAAACCGCCAGGAUCUGCUCAGAGCUCAUGUGUGUGAAGUUCAGUGUGCAAAACAAUCUCAGUCCAGGAUCCAGAAGCAGCAGCCAGGCUGCUAUCAGGAACUUCAUGUCACAAACAGUUAUAUUUUCAGAUCUUCCA
Molecule: long non-coding RNA, 523 nt
Organism: Austrofundulus limnaeus
Lineage: Eukaryota; Metazoa; Chordata; Actinopteri; Cyprinodontiformes; Rivulidae
Exons: 3
Source: RefSeq, a predicted model, not a curated record